GCCGCGGUGAAUACGUUCCCGGGUCUUGUACACACCGCCCGUCACACCAUGGGAGUGGGUUUUACCAGAAGUGGCUAGUCUAACCGCAAGGAGGACGGUCACCACGGUAGGAUUCAUGACUGGGGUGAAGUCGUAACAAGGUAGCCGUAUCGGAAGGUGCGGCUGGAUCACCUCCUUUCUCGAGCUUAUUCCGCAUACAUUGAGCGUUCACGCUUAUCGGCUGUUGAUCAAGACAGACUCAGGG
This 244-nucleotide ribosomal RNA is filed under the name Burkholderia glumae. Its description in RNAcentral is "partial 16S ribosomal RNA". The stretch from base 1 to 178 matches the Rfam family "Bacterial small subunit ribosomal RNA", at positions 1356 to 1533 of the family's 1533-position model. Lineage: Bacteria; Pseudomonadati; Pseudomonadota; Betaproteobacteria; Burkholderiales; Burkholderiaceae. The record is from RNAcentral.